This 356-nucleotide ribosomal RNA is filed under the name uncultured Glomeraceae. RNAcentral describes it as "SSU rRNA". It matches the Rfam family "Eukaryotic small subunit ribosomal RNA", at positions 569 to 929 of the family's 1831-position model. The record is from RNAcentral. Lineage: Eukaryota; Fungi; Glomeromycota; Glomeromycetes; Glomerales; Glomeraceae.
AGCAGCCGCGGUAAUUCCAGCUCCAAUAGCGUAUAUUAAAGUUGUUGCAGUUAAAAAGCUCGUAGUUGAAUUUCGGGAUUAGUGCGCCGGUCGUGCCUUCGGUAUGUACUGGUGUUACUGGUUCCUACCUUCUGACGAACCGUCAUGUCAUUAAUUUGGUGUGGCGGGGAAUCAGGACUGUUACUUUGAAAAAAUUAGAGUGUUUAAAGCAGGCUCGCGCUUGAAUACAUUAGCAUGGAAUAAUGAAAUAGGACGUUCGAUCCUAUUUUGUUGGUUUCUAGGAUUGACGUAAUGAUUAAUAGGGAUAGUUGGGGGCAUUAGUAUUCAAUUGUCAGAGGUGAAAUUCUUGGAUUUGU